UCUCCGUAGGUGAACCUGCGGAGGGAUCAUUACAGAGUUCUCGCCCCUCAGGGUGGAUCUCCCACCCACUGUGAUUGUUACUGUGUUGCUUUGGCGGGCCGCCGGGGCCUGCCCGUCCGCCGGCUCCGGCUGGCGCGCGCCCGCCAGAGGAUCCGCAAACACUGAAUGUCAGUGUCGUCUGAGUACUAUAUAAUAGUUAAAACUUUCAACAACGGAUCCCUUGGUUCUG
RNAcentral lists this unclassified non-coding RNA (229 nucleotides) under plant metagenome. RNAcentral describes it as "partial contains small subunit ribosomal RNA, internal transcribed spacer 1, and 5.8S ribosomal RNA". The record is from RNAcentral.